CCGCGGUGCGUCACGGGAGCUGCGGCGGCGACCUCCUGGCUCCCGCCCCCGCACGCGCCCGUUGCACGCACGCGCACUGCGCCCAGCAUGAGGGUCGCGGCUCUGAUCAGUGGUGGGAAGGACAGCUGCUAUAAUAUGAUGCAGUGCAUUGCUGCUGGGCAUCAGAUCGUUGCUUUAGCAAAUCUGAGACCAGCUGAAAACCAAGUGGGGUCUGAUGAACUGGAUAGCUACAUGUAUCAGACAGUGGGACAUCAUGCCAUUGACUUGUAUGCAGAAGCAAUGGCUCUUCCCCUCUAUCGCCGAACCAUAAGAGGAAGGAGCUUGGAUACAAGACGAGUAUACACCAAAUGUGAAGGUGAUGAGGUUGAAGAUCUCUAUGAGCUUUUGAAACUUGUUAAGGAAAAAGAAGAAGUAGAGGGGAUAUCAGUAGGUGCUAUACUUUCUGACUAUCAGCGUAUUCGAGUGGAAAAUGUGUGUAAAAGGCUUAAUCUCCAGCCUUUAGCUUACCUGUGGCAGAGAAACCAGGAGGAUUUGCUCCGAGAGAUGAUAUCAUCUAACAUUCAAGCAAUGAUCAUCAAAGUAGCAGCUUUGGGCUUAGAUCCUGAUAAGCAUCUUGGGAAAACCCUGGAUCAAAUGGAGCCAUAUCUCUUAGAGCUUUCUAAGAAGUAUGGAGUACAUGUUUGUGGAGAAGGUGGAGAGUAUGAAACUUUCACUUUGGAUUGCCCUCUAUUUAAGAAGAAAAUAAUUGUGGAUUCGUCAGAAGUAGUCAUGCAUUCAGCUGAUGCAUUUGCACCUGUGGCCUAUCUACGCUUCUUAGAAUUGCACUUGGAGGACAAGAAUGUGCGUAGAAACCAUGUUGCCAGAAGUACUCUUCUCAGCAGACUGCCUUAUCCACCAGAGUGACAUGAAGAUUGGUGAUGGUCUCUCUCCACCUAAAACAAUCCUGCACAUUCAGAGUAUUUCUCACUAGGCACCUGCUAGCACUGGACACUAUAGUUAGUCUAUGAAGGACAGAACAGCAUAAAAUAAGCAGAAUUGCAAAUUUGAUUAUCAAACUCUCAUUGCUGUCACUCCAAUCAACAACCUUUUGAAGAAGUGCGGAUCUCUCAAUCAUGAGUAUGGAAACUCAGAGAAUGCUUGGCACUUGGCACAGUACCUGGCAGAUAGUACUUAAUGAAUGUCGGAUGGAUGGCAAAAAGAGACAACAGGGGAAACAGAAAGAAUGAAGGAAAGAAGGAAAUAGUUGGAAAAACAGUUUAGUUGAUCUGAUCUGCAUGCAAGUAUUUGCUCUCAGUAAUAUUUUCUAGAAGCUGUUCUAAGAGGAUCUAGGGGUGGAUGUUUAGCAUAAAACAUGUUUCAACAGUUUUAAUGGAUAUGGAUUUCUGAGCUAACUUACAUUAUUAUGACCUGUUAGUAGUAGCAGCACUUAGUUCCCUUGUUGAGUAAAGGAUAGGAACAAUUAUGUUGUGAUGACAGAUUUCCAUCAGGUUUUUUUUUUCUGCCACAUAUCUAGACGUGACUUAGUUUUAAUGUACCUGAAUACUCCCAUAGUAAAGUGUAUUGUGAUUUCAUCAAGGAGGGCAAUAAUUAUUAAGCAGAGGAAUCUUUAGUCUUUGUCUCUUUGAAUAUCUAACUGAUCUUAAAAAUAAAGUGGUUUGUCUAUUUGCAGUUGAUUUUCUACAUGUGUUUGUUUCCAGUAAUUCCAGCCUUCUUACCCUGGAAUAGUUUAACCCAUCUCUUAAUUGUGCCUAGCUGACGUCUAGGUCUUUUUAAACUUCUUAACUGCACGGCAAGCCCUCAGUGGACACCUUGAUUGUGUCUGUUUGGGAAAAUGCCAAGCACUAAUGAGUAUUUUGUUUAAUGUAAUGGAAACUGAAAGUGCAUGGCUUCUUCCCUGACUGAUCAAUGCCCACUUCUGUUGUUUGAACAUAUCUGUACAUUCUAAAUUCAAAACGAAGGGUAACAAAUGGGCAGAGCACUUAGUGUCUGCCCAAGGAAGGACUUCAAGAUUCACAAGUUUUGUUUAUUUGGGCCCGGUAUAGACAGUACUGGAGUUAGUACUCUAGGCCUCCUCCUCUGUGCUCAGAUAUGCAAUUUUUAUUAAACCCAAAGUCCGUAAUCUUAAACUUUUUUGUGUUAAUUUAACAAAAUAAUAAGGGAAUGAAUUAUUUGUUGAAUUCUAAGCCAGGCAAUAUCUACUUCUAAGAAGUUACCCAUUUUUUAUUUCAUCAUUAUUUUUUAUAAAAUAUUUGGUAUAUAUUAUAUUUACCUUAUUGUUUGCUUUUUCUGAAGUUCAAAUCACAAUGUGUCCAACACAAAAUUUUAAGUAAAUAAUUAAAGCAUUAUUUCUUAGUUAAAUAAACAGUAAUAUUUGCUGAAAAAUGAAAUCUUAAGCAAUUGAGUAGGCAAACAUGAUCAAGUAUGUUCGAGUGAAGAGUAACGAUUUCCAUGUGGUGCUAACAUUCUGCACAGAGACUAAGUGGAAAGUGUAGAAGAUGUUUCAUUGAACCGUAUCUAGCUGAAUUGAUACAGAGCUCCUUUCAGUAGUAUUUAUAAUUUAUAGACUUCUUGUAUGUGCUAGAUAAUUUUCACGAGAAAAGAUUUCCAGCCAUUUAAAAUUUUAAAUGAGAUUUACCUUUCGUCCAAAGUGUCCUGGGUUUAGUGAUUUCAUUAAAGAUCAAUGGAGAUGAUAAGAAAAGUUUUGAAUCUAAAAAAUGGAAAUAAUUUCAUUCCUCAAAUUCAAAUUUAAUGACUCGCUUUCUCUUUAUUUCCAAGCCACCAUCUUGCUUGAUCAUACUAUCACCUUCCUUUGGAGACUGGAAAUAUACAAGCCUCCCCAAAUUACAGUUUAUAAUGGAAAGCUCCCCUGACCCUUAAUAAUUGUUACUUUACUGAAACACUGUAAUAUCUAAACUAAGUUGCUUAUUACACCAAACAUGAAGUCCUUUGACCCUUAGGGUUCAAUAUUGAUCAGCCUCACUUUUGUCAAUAUCACCUCUAAUGUCAACAUUUCAGUGUGAAAUAAAAUUCAGUAAAGGAUAGUCUUCUUAAUCCACACACAUUAAAGAUGUUUAAUUCCUAUUCAUUACAAAUUUCACCCAGUUUAAGAAUUGUUUUUUCCAUAUUCUCAGUUAAUAAUUGGAGACUGGGCAGCAUUGUAAGUAUGUGGUUAAAUGUCAUUACAAUAAGAAGUUAGCUGUAAGAUAACCUAUACCGAGGACCGGAUUCAUGGAAAAUCAUCUCUGAUAAAAUUACUCCAAAGGAAAUUUGAAGCAAAUGUAUUACAAAUUCAUCAAACGUGACUGAGAUAUUUUUUAAUCCUGAGAUCAUGGAGGGAAAUGCUUUUAAAAAGAAUAUUCAGGUGCUUGCUUUGCCCUUGGAUAAUGCAAUAGAAGCUUGUGGUAUUUUUCAGAUUGUCAAAUAUGUAUCAAAGAGUUAUUCUCUUGGCAAAUUCCAUGAAUUUCAGUUCCAUUUCUUGACAAUUUAAAAUUUGAUUAUCCAAUUAUAACUAAAGGUCAUUAGUCUAAUGUGGCAACUUCAUGACAGUUUUAGUUACAAAAGAAUUUCUCAGUUUAGAGAGGAAACUGCCAUGUGAGAAUUGUUUAUUGAACUUUUAAGUUGGAUGGUAUUGUGAAAAGAAUUUUGUUUUCUUCUUGUGCUUUUACUAUUUAUUAAUAAAAAUAUAUACUUUUUCCCCUGCCCCAUGUUUAUAUCGCAUGCCUCACCUCUCUGAAUAACAUCACCAAAUUAACAGCAAGUGCUCUCUGAUAUUGCUGAUUUUUAUCAUCAUUAGAUUUUGUCUUAAAUGUUCAUUUAGAGUUCCAUUUCUCUGUUUUGUUUUUAAUAACCAUAACCUGAAUAUCAUUUUCAGAACUAGAGAGAGUCAUUUUCAUUUCAAUCAUAUUAUAAGUAGAAUUUCUGCUAAAAUGAAAAACCAGAAAAAUUGAGGACAUGGCAAAUAUUUUAACAUUAGCUUUAUUUGAUGUGAUGAUGGAAAAUUCCUCAGGCAAAACAUACCACAGGACCAGACAAAAUGGGUGCUGAGUGUCAGAAAGAUAGGAGAAUCUUUAUCCACAUCUCACCCCCAAAGAAAUCAACUUUGCAGUGGUAGAUGAGUUUGUUGAACAGCUGUUGAUUGUGUACCUGCUCUGUUCAAGAUCAACAGUGAAAACUCAUUGUUUUUCUGUUUUUGCAUCUUAAGAGUUGCAGACAUUGCUGGAAACCCAGAUGGACAAGAUGGUGCCUGCACUGCUUCUCGUAACUGUGACCCAUUUACCCAGAGAAGAAAUUAUCCGUGCAGCAUGCUGGUUAACACUUCGAUCAACAAACAAGAACUCUACCACCCUGCUUGAGGAGUGAGAUCUUCACUCUAACUGUUCUCAGCACAGUCUCCUGGUGCAAAGCUGGACUAAGUAUUUUAAUAUUACACUUUGCGCCUCUUUUGUUCAACAGUAAGGCCCAAAAUAAACCUUUCUGCCUAGGUAUGAA
Molecule: non-coding RNA, 4488 nt
Organism: Chlorocebus sabaeus (green monkey)
Lineage: Eukaryota; Metazoa; Chordata; Mammalia; Primates; Cercopithecidae
Source: RefSeq, a predicted model, not a curated record